RNAcentral lists this long non-coding RNA (808 nucleotides) under Pongo abelii (Sumatran orangutan). Its description in RNAcentral is "lincRNA". The record is from RNAcentral. Lineage: Eukaryota; Metazoa; Chordata; Mammalia; Primates; Hominidae.
CAAAGCUCCAGGACGAUUUUCCCACCCAUGUUGGCGUGUGUAACGGCCCCCCACAGUCACGGCACUGAACAUGGCCACCACCACAAGUGCCUAGUGUUGUGCUACCCUUUUACAGCCAGCGCCCCUCCCUCCUGCCCGGGCCCCCCUGCGUUGUAUUUAUGGCUGCAUUUUGUCCUGUCUUGUGGAUGUUCCAUGACUGACAGACAGGCUGAACAAAGGGUGUGCAAAGAAGCCCAGAGCAGGAGAGAAGGCUCCCCAGCCUGGCUCUUGGUCGGCACAGUCGCAGGCUGGCUCUGCCUCUCUUGGCUGCACUGUCCUGAAGCAGGAAAUAUGAGAAAAACAAGUAAAGGGAAAACAAGUCCAGUUGGAGCUAUGAUAACAUUAUCUGCAAGGCCAGGCAGGGGCCCCAAAGAAAUGGGAUCCAAGAGCAGGGACAAGAAAAACAAGUUCUUAGUCUCCCCCUGGAAUUAUUUCCCCAUGCUAUCAUUCUUUGUUCUUCUCUUAUAACUAUUUUUGUAACUAUUUCUGCAAGUUUGCAAGGAUUUUAUAAGUUCAUGUUUUCCCAUCUAUGCAGGAUGGCAAAGGUCACAAGACAUGCCUGAAUUGCAAAACCUGUCACAGUUUGAUUAACUGCCUUUGUUCUGCUUCUGUAAGCUCGCCUUCCCCACCCUGCAAGUUUUGCACCACUGGCUAGCCACUCCCCUUCAGUCGCCUGAAUAAAAGUCAAGCCUGAUCUUUGUUCAUUGCUCAGCCUCUGGAUAUUAAUCCGCUGGGCCAGUGGCCACCUAAAUAAAAUCCUCCUAUUUCA